Molecule: ribosomal RNA, 616 nt
Filed under: Clostridioides difficile
Lineage: Bacteria; Bacillati; Bacillota; Clostridia; Peptostreptococcales; Peptostreptococcaceae
Description: bacterial SSU rRNA
Rfam family: Bacterial small subunit ribosomal RNA
Source: RNAcentral
AUCAAAGGUGAGCCAGUACAGGAUGGACCCGCGUCUGAUUAGCUAGUUGGUAAGGUAACGGCUUACCAAGGCGACGAUCAGUAGCCGACCUGAGAGGGUGAUCGGCCACAUUGGAACUGAGACACGGUCCAAACUCCUACGGGAGGCAGCAGUGGGGAAUAUUGCACAAUGGGCGAAAGCCUGAUGCAGCAACGCCGCGUGAGUGAUGAAGGCCUUCGGGUCGUAAAACUCUGUCCUCAAGGAAGAUAAUGACGGUACUGGAGGAGGAAGCCCCGGCUAACUACGUGCCAGCAGCCGCGGUAAUACGUAGGGGGCUAGCGUUAUCCGGAUUUACUGGGCGUAAAGGGUGCGUAGGCGGUCUUUCAAGUCAGGAGUGAAAGGCUACGGCUCAACCGUAGUAAGCUCUUGAAACUGGGAGACUUGAGUGCAGGAGAGGAGAGUGGAAUUCCUAGUGUAGCGGUGAAAUGCGUAGAUAUUAGGAGGAACACCAGUUGCGAAGGCGGCUCUCUGGACUGUAACUGACGCUGAGGCACGAAAGCGUGGGGAGCAAACAGGAUUAGAUACCCUGGUAGUCCACGCUGUAAACGAUGAGUACUAGGUGUCGGGGGUUACCCCC